AUUGAACGCUGGCGGCAUGCCUUACACAUGCAAGUCGAACGGCAGCGGACCUUCGGGUGCCGGCGAGUGGCGAACGGGUGAGUAAUAUAUCGGAACGUACCUUUCAGUGGGGGAUAACGUAGCGAAAGUUACGCUAAUACCGCAUAUUCUGUGAGCAGGAAAGCAGGGGAUCGCAAGACCUUGCGCUGAUUGAGCGGCCGAUAUCAGAUUAGCUAGUUGGUGAGGUAAAGGCUCACCAAGGCGACGAUCUGUAGCGGGUCUGAGAGGAUGAUCCGCCACACUGGAACUGAGACACGGUCCAGACUCCUACGGGAGGCAGCAGUGGGGAAUUUUGGACAAUGGGCGCAAGCCUGAUCCAGCCAUGCCGCGUGAGUGACGAAGGCCUUAGGGUUGUAAAGCUCUUUUGGCGGGGACGAUAAUGACGGUACCCGCAGAAUAAGCCCUGGCUAACUUCGUGCCAGCAGCCGCGGUAAAGUGUG
This 479-nucleotide ribosomal RNA is filed under the name uncultured bacterium. RNAcentral's name for it is "bacterial SSU rRNA". It matches the Rfam family "Bacterial small subunit ribosomal RNA", at positions 30 to 529 of the family's 1533-position model. The record is from RNAcentral.